RNAcentral lists this small nuclear RNA (199 nucleotides) under Ophiophagus hannah (king cobra). RNAcentral's name for it is "7SK RNA". It matches the Rfam family "7SK RNA", at positions 1 to 200 of the family's 331-position model. From Rfam's summary of the family: 7SK was discovered as an abundant small nuclear RNA in the mid-70s but a possible function has only recently been suggested. The record is from Rfam by way of RNAcentral. Lineage: Eukaryota; Metazoa; Chordata; Lepidosauria; Squamata; Elapidae.
GGGUUGAGGGUGAUCUGGCUGCGGCAUUUGUCACUCCGUUGAUUGUCAGGAUUGAUUUGACUGAUCUGACUACUUAGAUAGGCUUCACCAUCUUCCCUCAUUGUUCCAUAUGUAUCUCUCUUGAAGUUGUGUAUAUUGUGGAAGAGAACAAUCAUCCCAGUUAGGAGUGUACCACUCUUCAGUCAAGGGUAUACAACAA